AAAGCCUGAGCUUGGUAGAAGGAUCAUCGCAUUUCAGGAGAACGAGGUAGAGCGGAUAAAAGGAAAAUGCUUCUUCCAAAGACAUUCCUCCUACUCUAUCUGCUUCUCCUUUCCACUUCAUUCAUUCCAAAUGGGACCACUGCUAGGGAGCUUGUUAAACCAAGAACUAGUGGCCAGACGCCAGCGGAUGCCACGGGCAUCAUCGGAUAUCGUGCCCCCUUGGUGCCUCCGCCUCCCCUUCGCAACGUUCCACACAUCCCAUAUCGUCGCAAGUGCAACAGCUAUUACCGUUGUGCACCCCCGGUCCCAUAGCUGCAGAGUAAAAUCGCAGGUGUACUACUAGUAAUGGCGGCAGCAGGUGCUCCAUCCUCGCGUAUACUGCCUUGAAAUUGGCAUAUGAACUAAAUAAGCAGUCGUAUCAUGAUGCCAUUUUCGAUCGCUUUGUUGUACGCGUAUGUGUACCUAAUGGUAGUUGGGAAUUUCAAAGCUGCCGCGUUGUUUCUGUUGCUGUUAUAUUCAGAUGCAUGCCCAGGAUCUGACGCUGGUGGUGCUCUCGGGUGCAGCGUUGCUACACUACUACGACGCCAAGCAUGCCAUCGAUGACGACGAAAAACUUCAGUCCUUAAAUUGUAGCGAGUGCAUAUCCAGCCUCCACCUUAGCUUUCAUUGCAGAUCUGCAUUCGAAAUGAACGACCUCUUCGUCUCUACGGCCUCCUUCAAAAAGCACACCGACCUGAAGCAGCUGGUCCACCUGGACGAGAUGGAAGUCCGGCAUGACGGGCGGAAUGGGGGAGGCCGGCAAGGAGAGCGUCAACCUGCACAAGUUCUUCGAGGACGUCGAGACCGUGAAGGACGACCUCCGUGGCCUCGAGAAGCUGUACCGCCGCCUCCAGGGGGCCAACGAGGCUCUAGAGCAAGAAGAAGACGACGAAAGAACUCCGGGCGCGCAUGGAUGCCGACAUCAAUCGAGCAGGUCCUCCGCCGCGCCGAGGCCAUGAAGGGAACCUCCGCCGCCGCCCUCAAAUAUUGAGGCCACUAAAUUUUGUCAGCCUUUUAGUCUAUAUAAAGGUUGCUCAUGUAUAUUGUAAAGACAAGGUAGAAAUACAUUUUUCUUGGCUUUUUUCUUCUUUCAA
Non-coding RNA from Phoenix dactylifera (date palm), 1133 nucleotides. The record is from RefSeq and is a predicted model, not a curated record. NCBI's taxonomy places the organism in Eukaryota, Viridiplantae, Streptophyta, Magnoliopsida, Arecales, Arecaceae.